AACGAACGCUGGCGGCAUGCCUAACACAUGCAAGUCGAACGAGACCUUCGGGUCUAGUGGCGCACGGGUGCGUAACGCGUGGGAACCUGCCCUUAGGUUCGGAAUAACUCCCCGAAAGGGGUGCUAAUACCGGAUAAUGUCUUCGGACCAAAGAUUUAUCGCCUUUGGAUGGGCCCGCGUUGGAUUAGCUAGUUGGUAGGGUAAAAGCCUACCAAGGCGACGAUCCAUAGCUGGUCUGAGAGGAUGAUCAGCCACACUGGGACUGAGACACGGCCCAGACUCCUACGGGAGGCAGCAGUGGGGAAUAUUGGACAAUGGGCGAAAGCCUGAUCCAGCAAUGCCGCGUGAGUGAUGAAGGCCUUAGGGUUGUAAAGCUCUUUUACCCGGGAUGAUAAUGACAGUACCGGGAGAAUAAGAGCCGGCUAACUCCGUG
This 433-nucleotide ribosomal RNA is filed under the name uncultured bacterium. RNAcentral's name for it is "partial 16S ribosomal RNA". It matches the Rfam family "Bacterial small subunit ribosomal RNA", at positions 29 to 507 of the family's 1533-position model. The record is from RNAcentral.